AUGGCUGCACCCGCGCUGGCCAAGCGCCCCUGCAGCAGCCCCUCCGCCUCCGCUUCUUGUCGCGAGGCCAAGCGGCUCCGCCCGGCGCCGGCGCCGGCGCCCAUGGAGAGGCACGACGCCGCUGCUGCCGCUGCUGAGGUGUCGACGACGACGUCGCAGCAGCAGUCGCAGCCGCUGCUCCCGGGCCUGCCGGACCACCUCGCGCAGCUCUGCCUCUCGACGCUGCCGCCGCGCCUCAUGCACGCCGUCUGCCGCCCGUGGCGCCGGCUGCUGUACGCGCCGUCGUUCCCGCCGUUCUUGUCCCUCUACGCGCUUCUUGAGGACGCCGGCGACGGCGGGGCCUCCUUCGCGGCCUACGACCCGAUCGCCGCGCGCUGGGACGGGCUGCCGACGCCGCCGAUGCCAUCGCCGCCCCCGACGCUCUGCCACCCGUCGUUCCUCUCCCGCCGGCUGCCGCUCCAGUCGGUGGCCGCCGCGGGGAAGCUCGUCCUCGUCGCGGGGUCCACGCAGUCGCUCCACCCGGCGCUGUGCCGGCCGCUGGUGUUCGACCCGGCCGCCGCGCUGGCCCCGCGGUGGCAGGUCGGCCCGAAAGUCCCGCUCGCCCCGCGCAGGUGGUGCGCGGCGGGCGCGGCGCGGGGGCGCGUGUUCGUCGCGGGCGGCGUGGGCGCCGGCUACGACCUCGCCGUCGCGCGCUCCGGGGCGACGUGGGACCCCGCCACGCCGUCCGCGCCGUGGGAGCCGCUGCCGCCGCUGCGGGACGGGCGGUUCAGCCGUGACGCGGCGGAGGCCGUGUGCUCGGGCGGGAAGGUCUGCAUGGUCAAUCUCCGCGGCAGCGGCGCCAAGGAGGGGGCCGUGUUCGACCUGGUGGCCGGGCGGUGGGAGGACAUGCCGCCCGGCAUGCUGGCCGGGUGGAAGGGCCCCGCCGCGGCGUCCCCGGACAGCGGCGACAUGAUCUUCGUCGUGGACGAGGAGCGCGGCGCGCUCAACGCCUACGACUGGGGGUCCGACCGGUGGACGACGGUCGCGGAGGCGGGGCGGCUCAAGGGCGCGGCCGAGAUGGCCGCGGGCGGCGGCAGGGUGUGCGUCGUGUCCCACGGCGGCGCGAAGGUGGUGGUCGUGGACGUGACGCCCAAGGCGGGGAGGAGCAGGGGCUCCACGACGCCGGCGCCGCCGCGCAUGUGGGAGGUGGAGGCGCCGGCCGGGCGGCGGGUGGUGUCGCUGCACGUGCUGCCCAGGAUGACGCGCCCCGAGUAG
RNAcentral lists this ribosomal RNA (1254 nucleotides) under Triticum aestivum (bread wheat). RNAcentral describes it as "partial small subunit ribosomal RNA". Lineage: Eukaryota; Viridiplantae; Streptophyta; Magnoliopsida; Poales; Poaceae. The record is from RNAcentral.